This 232-nucleotide non-coding RNA is filed under the name Enterococcus sp. RNAcentral describes it as "T-box sequence". It matches the Rfam family "T-box leader". From Rfam's summary of the family: Uncharged tRNA acts as the effector for transcription antitermination of genes in the T-box leader family. T-boxes are found upstream of many aminoacyl-tRNA synthetase genes and some amino acid biosynthetic genes usually in Gram-positive bacteria. The anticodon of a specific tRNA base pairs to a specifier sequence within the T-box motif, and the NCCA acceptor tail of the tRNA base pairs to a conserved bulge in the T-box antiterminator hairpin. Lineage: Bacteria; Bacillati; Bacillota; Bacilli; Lactobacillales; Enterococcaceae. The record is from RNAcentral.
AAUGAGACAUUGAAGAGAAGAGUAAUUGAUCGUGAAACGAUUAAAGAGACCCUCGGCAGGUGAAAAGAGGGAUCGUGGAAAAUCAAUGAAGAUGAGCUCUGAGUCUUCAGCUUGUUCACGCAAGCUGGACGGGAAGCGACCGUUAUAUCGCCGGAUAUGUUUGUAUCGUUGAGGUAUUAUUUGUGAGAAUAAUACGAAUAAGGGUGGUAACGCGAAAAUAUUCGUCCCUUUA